RNAcentral lists this ribosomal RNA (253 nucleotides) under uncultured bacterium. Its description in RNAcentral is "partial 16S ribosomal RNA". It matches the Rfam family "Bacterial small subunit ribosomal RNA", at positions 524 to 776 of the family's 1533-position model. The record is from RNAcentral.
UACGAAGGGGGCUAGCGUUGCUCGGAAUAACUGGGCGUAAAGGGCGCGUAGGCGGAUGAUUAAGUCGGAGGUGAAAGCCCAGGGCUCAACCCUGGAAUUGCCUUCGAUACUGAUCGUCUCGAGAAUGGAAGAGGUAAGUGGAAUACCGAGUGUAGAGGUGAAAUUCGUAGAUAUUCGGUGGAACACCAGUGGCGAAGGCGACUUACUGGUCCAUUUCUGACGCUGAGGCGCGAAAGCGUGGGGAUCAAACAGG